GGUCGCAAAGUUCAAGGGGGCCGAAUACUUUCGCAAGGCACUGUACCUACUCAAUUUUCUUUAUUUUUACAAUUUUCUACAUUGUAAAAUAAAAGUGAAGAGAGAGAAACUAUGAAAUAACACACAUGGAAUUAUGUCGUAACCAAAAAAAGUGUUAAACAAAUCCAAAUAUAUUUUAGAUUCUUCAAAGUAGCCACCCUUUGCCUUAUGACAGCUUUGCACACGCUCAACCAGCUUCACCUGGAAUGCUUUUCCAACAGUCUUGAAGGAGUUCCAACAAAUGCUGAGCACUUGUUGGCUGCUUUACCUUCACUCUGCAGUCCAACUAAUCCCAACGCAUCUCAAUUGGGUUGAGGUCGGGUGAUUGUGGAGGCCAGGUCAUCUGAUUUAGCACUCCAUCACUGUCCUUGGUCAAGUAGCCAUUACAGAGCCUGGAGGUGUGUUGGGUCAUUGUCCUGUUGAAAAACAAAUGAUAGUCCCACUAAGCGCAAAACAGGUGGGAUGGCCAUAUCAUUGCAGAAUGCUGUGGUAGCCAUGCUGGUUAAGUGUGCAUUGAAUUCUAAAUAAAUCACUUAGUGUCACCAGGAUAGCACCACCACACCUUCUCCAUGCUUCACGGUGGGAACCACACAUGCAGAGAUCAUCCGUUCACCUACUCUGCGUCUCACAAAGACAUGACAGUUGGAACCAAAAAUCUCAGAUUUGGACUCAUCAGACCAAAGGUCAGAGUUCCACCGGUCUAAUGUCCAUUGCUCAUGUUUCUUGGCCCAAGCAAGUCUUGUCUUCUUAUUGGUGUCCUUUAGUAGUGGUUUCUUUGCAGCAAUUUGACCACGAAGGCCUGAUUCAUGCCGUCUCCUCUAAACAGCUGAUGUUGAGAUGUGUCUGUCACUUGAACUCCGUGAAGCAUUUAUUUGGGCUACAUUUUCUGAGGCUGGUAACUCUAAUGAACAUAUCCUCUGCAGCAGAGGUAACUCUGGGUCUUCCAUUCCUGUGGCAGUCCUCAUGAGAGCCAGUUUCAUCAUAGCGCCUCAAAGUUCUUGACAUUUUCUGAAUUGACUGACCUUCAUGUCUUAAAGUAAUGAUGUACUGUCUUUUAUUUUUGCUUACUUGCGCUGUUCUUGCCAUAAUAUGGACUUGGUCUUUUACCAAACAGGGCUAUCUUUUGUAUACCACCCGACCUUGUCACAACACAACUGAUUGGCUCAAACACAUUAAGAAGGAAAGAAAUUCCACAAAUGAACUUUUAACAAGGCACCCCAAUUAAUUGAAAUUCAUUCUAGGUGACUACCUCAUGAAGCUUGUUGAGGGAAUGCCAAGCAUGUUCAAAGGGUGACUACUUUGAAGAAUCUCAAAUAUAAAAUAUAUUUUGAUUUUGUUUAACACUUUUUUUGGUUACUACAUGAUUCCAUAUGUGUUAUUUCAUAGAUUUGAUGUCUUCAUUAUUAUUCUACAAUGUAAAAAUAAUGAAAAACCCUUGAAUGAGUUGGUGUGUCCAAACUUUUGACUGGUACUGUACAUUGAGGGUUUGUCCGAUUGGGAUGUUUCCUACCUAUCAGUGAGCCAAAGAAACAUGACGUAAACAUACACAAUACUUGCAAGGAAGAAAACAAAAGCUUUUUGUAAGAAAUAUGGUUGUAUGUGUACUAACCAUGCAGCUAUGCUGGUGACAGUGCACAGAGGAGUCCAUAUGUAAGAAAAUAUUUUAUGAAGAAAAUGUGUAUUUUUUUAUGUAAUGAUUGGUUAUAUACACUACGUGUGCCUUAAUACAUGGAAAAAAUCCUUCAAUAUUUUGUCUGUGUGAAAUGCAUUCUUAAACAGAAUAAAUAAAUAUUGUGGGAAAACAUGGAAUAACAGAAUCUAAGAAUUACACUUUACUAACCAAGCUUUUAGAUUUAAGUCAGAAGUUCGUAUCAAUUGAUCUAUAACAAUGCCUUAAAUAAUUACAUAAAGGAUAGGUUCGGUAUUUUAGACAUUGCAGUUAUAUUGUUUCUUACUCCCAAGGGAAACCGUAAUCCUCGGUUCGGAUUUCUUAAAACAGCCAGUACUAACUUCAGCUAACUUUCGUCACUGCUAACCAAAACCAUUGGGAGUAAUGGGGAAACCAUGCAAUGAUAUACAGUACCAGUCAAAAGUUUGGACACACCUACUCAUUCAAGGUUUUUUCAAAAAUUGUACUAUUUUCUACAUUGUAGAAUAAUAGUGAAGACAUCAAAACUAUGAAAUAACAUACAUGGAAUCAUGUAGUAACCAAAAAAGUGUUAAAUAAUCAAAAUAUAUUUUAGGUAGCCACUCUUUCCCUUGAUGACAGCUUUGCACACUCUUGGCAUUCUCUCAACCAGCUUCACCUGGAAUGCUUUUCCAACAAUCUUGAGGGAGUUCCCACAUAUAUGCUGAGCACUUGUUGGCUGCUUUUCCUUCACUCUGCCAUCUCAAUUGGGUUGAUGUCGGGUGAUUGUGGAGGCCAGGUCCUUCCUGGUCAAAUAGAGCUUACACAGCCUGGAGGUGUGUUGGGUCAUUGUCCUGUUGAAAAACAAAUGAUAGUCCCACUAAGCGCAAAACAGAUGGGAUGGCGUAUCGCUGCAGAAUGCUGUGGUAGCCAUGUUGGUUAAGUGUGCCUUGAAUUCUAAAUGAAUCACCGACAGUGUCACCAGCAAAGCACCCCCUCCUUUAUUGGUUACUACAUGAUUCCAUAUGUGUUAUUUAAUCAUUUUGAUGUCUUCACUAUUAUUCUACAUUGUAAAAAAUAAAGCAAAAAGGAUCUUCAAAAAUGUGAUUUUCCGUUUUACAUAUUUCCACACUAUGAGGUUGGAAUAAUAGUGUGAAAGUUAUGAUAAUGCCCUUUUAGUGUAAGAGCUGUUUAAAAAGUCUGCCUGAAAUUGAAUUCUGUUUCAGUGCGAUGGUGUUUUGGUCUGCCUGGUGACAGCACCUGGCAAUGAGUUAAUAGACCAAUAAGAAAGUUUUUCUCUGCCCAUAACAGCUAGUUUUCCCCUCCCCACUCAGACCACUCCCAGACAGACCCA
Molecule: long non-coding RNA, 3020 nt
Organism: Oncorhynchus tshawytscha (Chinook salmon)
Lineage: Eukaryota; Metazoa; Chordata; Actinopteri; Salmoniformes; Salmonidae
Source: Ensembl